Long non-coding RNA from Mauremys reevesii (Reeves's turtle), 880 nucleotides. RefSeq lists it as uncharacterized. NCBI's taxonomy places the organism in Eukaryota, Metazoa, Chordata, Testudines, Geoemydidae. The record is from RefSeq and is a predicted model, not a curated record. The transcript is spliced from 3 exons.
UGUUUAUUGGUGUUUUAAAAAUAACUCUUUGUAUAUAGUCUAUAAUUCACCAUACUUCAGAUGAAAAGAUUUCAUCUCAGUUACUUUUGUCUACUCUCUCCAUAUUUACAGGCCUGCAACAUUUUUAGAAUUGAUUAAAAUGUCUGCACUUGGAUUAAUACAGAAUGUGCACCAAACAUCUGCCUCAUGAUUCAAAAGUGUAUCCUGUUGCAUAGCAGCUCUAGCUGUAUGUAAUGAUCUGAAUUACAUCAUUUGCACUCAUGUGAUGGCUAGUGCCCUCCAUUUUUCACUUUCCUUCCCAAGAAACUUCCUUCCUUUUUGAAGUCAUUGGAUUUACUUGGAUUUUCUGGACUUUCUUGUGAACACUGAAUAAAAGUGCUCAUUUAAAGCAAAACUGUGCCCUCAUUCACCAAGGGUACAUGGGGGAAAGCACUAUGCAAAGCCAGUAUAAACUAAAAUUUCAUACAGACAAUGACUUGUUUUUACUGCUCUAUAUUCUAUACACUGAAAUAAAAUAAACAUAGAAGUUAUACUUAAGGACAGUGGAAGGCUCAAGAUUGAAGCACUCUAUUAAAAAUCUGACUGCUGAUUGCAGCUCGCAAUUUUAGCGCUCAUCAAUCAUUGUCUUGAAUGACUCAUCAAAUGAUCUUUACCCAUGAGGACAGUAUUGAGAAAGCCAAGUGAACCAGUAAAUAUUCUUGAUAGUAACACAAUUGCUACUAAAUACUCUUCAGAACACAGUGAAGCUCUUUAUUGUUUGUAUUUCAUUUUCAGUUACACAUAGGAGGAACACUCAAUGCACUUGUACCACAGCAGGUGGCCACAGUCUGAAACUCUAAUUUUGACUGCUGGACUCAAGUAGAGUUGUCUUAAGGUCUUA